UUUCCGUAGGUGAACCUACGGAAGGAUCAUUGUCAUGACCCUGGCCAAAACAGACCGCGCACGCGUCAUCCAUCCCACCGGAGGCGACACUGCCCGCUGUCCAGCCAAGUCCCUGACCACCUCCCCUCCCUAGAGGUGGGCCGGGGCGACAGAACCCACGGCGCCGAAGGGGUCAAGGAACACUAUGCCUAACUCGAGGGCGCGGCUGGCCUGCCGGCUGCCCCCACGUUGUGAUGCUAUCUGAUCCACAUGACUCUCAGCAAUGGAUAUCGUGGCUUUC
This 280-nucleotide unclassified non-coding RNA is filed under the name root metagenome. RNAcentral describes it as "partial internal transcribed spacer 1". The record is from RNAcentral.